GGCCGGGGCGGCGCGGUCGACCCGCACCGGGUUGUCGAUCCGGUGAUGGCGGAAGCGCCGGCUUCCAAGCAGCGGUUCGAGCCGCGCCCGGCUGCCA
This 97-nucleotide transfer RNA is filed under the name Methylobacterium frigidaeris. RNAcentral describes it as "tRNA-Asp". Lineage: Bacteria; Pseudomonadati; Pseudomonadota; Alphaproteobacteria; Hyphomicrobiales; Methylobacteriaceae. The record is from RNAcentral.